GAGAGAAGAGAAGAGUACUACAAGGGAAAGCAACCUCACAACUAGAGAGAGAAAUGCGAGUAGAACAGAGCAGAGAAUGUAGUUGUAGUAAAUGCCCCUGAGUCUUCCCACAAUUACGAAUUAUUUUCCGUUUUGCCCACUUUAACCUUUGUGGUUAAACAACACUCCAGUCUCUUUCAAUGGCUGUUGACGGUUGUGACGCUGCAAUAGUUGGGUUCAGUUGCG
This 225-nucleotide unclassified non-coding RNA is filed under the name Hevea brasiliensis (rubber tree). The record is from RNAcentral. Lineage: Eukaryota; Viridiplantae; Streptophyta; Magnoliopsida; Malpighiales; Euphorbiaceae.